Molecule: long non-coding RNA, 1451 nt
Organism: Astyanax mexicanus (Mexican tetra)
Lineage: Eukaryota; Metazoa; Chordata; Actinopteri; Characiformes; Acestrorhamphidae
Exons: 3
Source: RefSeq, a predicted model, not a curated record
AGUGUUGAGCUGGUACAGUGAGUGGAUCAGAUACAGCAGUGAUUAGCAGUGAUUAGCAUGGUGGUGGUGUAUGAGGUGUUAGUGAGUGUUGAGCUGGUACAGUGAGUGGAUCAGAUGCAGCAGUGAUUAGCACUGAUUAGCAUGGUGGUGGUGUAUGAGGUGUUAGUGUGUGUUGAGCUGGUACAGUGAGUGGAUCAGAUACUGCAGUGAUUAGCACUGAUUAGCAUGGUGGUGGUGUAUGAGGUGUUAGUGAGUGUUGAGCUGGUGGUACAGUGAGUGGAUCAGAUACAGCAGUGAUUAGCAGUGAUUAGCAUGGUGGUGGUGUAUGAGGUGUUAGUGAGUGUUGAGCUGGUACAGUGAGUGAAUCAGAUACAGCAGUGAUUAGCACUGAUUAGCAUGGUGGUGGUGUAUGAGGUGUUAGUGAGUGUUGAGCUGGUGGUACAGUGAGUGGAUCAGAUACAGCAGUGAUUAGCACUGAUUAGCAUGGUGGUGGUGUAUGAGGUGUUAGUGAGUGUUGAGCUGGUACAGUGAGUGGAUCAGAUACAGCAGUGAUUAGCACUGAUUAGCAUGGUGGUGGUGUAUGGGGUGUUAGUGUGUGUUGAGCUGGUACAGUGAGUGGAUCAGAUACAGCAGUGAUUAGCAGUGAUUAGCAUGGUGGUGGUGUAUGAGGUGUUAGUGUGUGUUGAGCUGGUGGUACAGUGAGUGGAUCAGAUACAGCAGUGAUUAGCACUGAUUAGCAUGGUGGUGGUGUAUGUGGUGUUAGUGAGUGUUGAGCUGGUACAGUGAGUGGAUCAGAUACAGCAGUGAUUAGCACUGAUUAGCAUGGUGGUGGUGUAUGAGGUGUUAGUGAGUGUUGAGCUGGUGGUACAGUGAGUCGAUCAGAUACAGCAGUGAUUAGCAGUGAUUAGCAUGGUGGUGGUGUAUGUGGUGUUAGUGAGUGUUGAGCUGGUGGUACAGUGAGUGGAUCAGAUACAGCAGUGAUUAGCACUGAUUAGCAUGGUGGUGGUGUAUGAGGUGUUAGUGUGUGUUGAGCUGGUACAGUGAGUGGAUCAGAUACAGCAGUGAUUAGCAGUGAUUAGCAUGGUGGUGGUGUAUGAGGUGUUAGUGUGUGUUGAGCUGGUACAGUGAGUGGAUCAGAUACAGCAGUGAUUAGCAGUGAUUAGCAUGGUGGUGGUGUAUGAGGUGUUAGUGAGUGUUGAGCUGGUACAGUGAGUGGAUCAGAUACAGCAGUGAUUAGCACUGAUUAGCAUGGUGGUGGUGUAUGAGGUGUUAGUGUGUGUUGAGCUGGUGGUACAGUGAGUGGAUCAGAUACAGCAGUGAUUAGCAUGGUGGUGGUGUAUGAGGUGUUAGUGUGUGUUGAGCUGGUGGUACAGUGAGUGGAUCAGAUACAGCAGUGAUUAGCAGUGAUUAGCAUGGUGGUGGUGUAUGAGGUGAUAGUGAGUGUUGAGCUG